Molecule: long non-coding RNA, 1918 nt
Organism: Panicum virgatum (switchgrass)
Lineage: Eukaryota; Viridiplantae; Streptophyta; Magnoliopsida; Poales; Poaceae
Exons: 3
Source: RefSeq, a predicted model, not a curated record
CUCGCAGCGAGGCCUGCUCCAUGCCCGCCGCGCACCAUAUCCGACUCGCUGACGCGGCCCGAAGGUCCCAAUGGCCAAUGCGCAACCUCCCCUGUCCGACUCGAUCUCGCCCUCUCUCUCUCUCGUUUUCUCGAUCCGACAGCCGGUGGCAGACGCGCCGGCGACCAGAACUCCAGAAGGCAGGCGCGACGCCGCGAGCCUCGACCGUGAGGCCAGCGUAAACACGCAGCAGCAGUGCUGGGAGGGGCAACAGGCAGAUCAAGACACCCCCACGGUGGCUCGACGAGCGGAAUCGACGCAUCCCAAUUCCUGAUUUCCUCCGCGAUUGAUUCACCGACGCGUCCCUGUUGGAUCUCUCUCUGACCGACCGGACGUCCACGGUGGCGGCCGAACAUGACACCGGGAUUCUUCACGGGCCGCUCGGCGGAAGCACGACAAGCCGCCGGCCCGGCCCCGCGCGCAUUCGCCAACCACACCGAUCAGCCAGUCACCCGGGAGCUUCAAAAAGCAAAGCAACAGCCAUUUCGUUAAUCCUCUGAUACAUCGGCAGAGAUAGUGCAUAUAAUAAGAAUCUGACGUUAGAUGCAUAUCAGGGUAGAACGGUUGCAGCAUUUGGCUAGAUGCUCUGCCAUGUCCAGAGCUCCAUGAACUAUCCACGAUUCAACAGCAUACAGGUCUUCAUCUUCAUCACUAAUUUCAGGGGUCAGAGCACGCAAGCUUUUCUGUAUGUUCUUCAGAUCUUUUCCUUCUGGAAUUCAGAUCUGAAGAUGGAAGUUUCAUACAUGGAUUAGGCACCGAGCUAUCACCACUGUCUUGGCACCAAGCAGCUGAGUUUGUCGCUGGUUGAAGGUCCUCAUGGACUUGUGUGGGGGAGAUGGGUGCUAUCGAUGUCUGGUCCACCCCCAGAGCAUGUCCGCUGCAGCGCCGCCGGGGGGCAAGAUCCAGCCCCGGAGCCGACUGCUGGCUUGCCGUGCGCUGCUUGUGCGCUGCUUCUCCUGUGUCGAUGCCGCGGCCUUCAACUUCCACACCGCCGACCAACAGCGCGCCAAGGCAAGAUCCAAUCCCGGAGCAGGCCGCCGCCACCAACAGCGCCGUCGGGGCAAGAUCCAAUCCCGGAGCAGGCCGCCACCGCCGCCGACAGCGCCGCCGGGGCAAGAUCCAAUCCCGGAGCCUGCUGCCGCGGGCUGCGGCCUUCAACUCCCGGCUCCCACACCGCUGCUGCCGCUCCAGCAGUUGUAGCACUGCUGCUGCCUCGAGAAAGGAUGAAUAGAACACACCAGCAUGAAUCUUUGGCGCCAUCGCCGGUUUUCUUCGCGCCAAAAUGACCUCGCCGCAUGGGAUCGGCCGGAGUCGUCGUCGGUUGAAGACGAUGCGUACAGCGGAGGGGGUGCUCGUCGAUUCCGCCUCGGAGCACGGGCCUUCGCCGUCGCCUCCCGUCGCCUCACGAGACGACGGCACGACCGUCUCCGAGGCAGGGUUUUUUUAAGGGAAAAUUCGAUUCAUACCACCACAACUCCGUGAAAUUGGGUGUCAUGUUGAAAAUCAUGUCACUCAAUGGCAUGAUUUUCAACAUGAGAUCCAAUUUCAAGAAAUUGGAGUGGCAUGGAUCCAACUGACCCUUUUUUUUACCGACCGGUCGCCUCAAACCGCCGGCCUUCUAUUCCGGUAAAUCGGACCGGUUCGACCGGAAACCGGUAAAAACCAGUCAAAUUCAAAUUUCAAAUUAUAGACGCCAGUUCAAACGGUUUCCACCGGUUAGCCGACCGGUUUGAGUGGAAACCGGUCCGUUGAACAAAAAAUCGACUUUGUUCAAAAUUUGAAUUUUUGUAUAACAUGUUUUUAGCCUAAAUAAACCCUCCGACUCUCUUUUGUACUAAUUUUACAUUAAUAUAAUGUAUAAUAUGUUUUACAUUGUAUU